GGCGUGGCUCAGUUUGGUAGAGCGCUUGGUUCGGGACUAAGAGGUCGUGGGUUCGAAUCCCGUCGCC
RNAcentral lists this transfer RNA (67 nucleotides) under pig gut metagenome. It matches the Rfam family "tRNA". From Rfam's summary of the family: Transfer RNA (tRNA) molecules are approximately 80 nucleotides in length. The record is from RNAcentral.